RNAcentral lists this ribosomal RNA (497 nucleotides) under uncultured bacterium. RNAcentral describes it as "partial 16S ribosomal RNA". It matches the Rfam family "Bacterial small subunit ribosomal RNA", at positions 28 to 507 of the family's 1533-position model. The record is from RNAcentral.
GAUGAACGCUGGCGGCGUGCCUAAUACAUGCAAGUCGAGCGAACAGACGAGGAGCUUGCUCCUCUGACGUUAGCGGCGGACGGGUGAGUAACACGUGGAUAACCUACCUAUAAGACUGGGAUAACUUCGGGAAACCGGAGCUAAUACCGGAUAAUAUAUUGAACCGCAUGGUUCAAUAGUGAAAGACGGUUUUGCUGUCACUUAUAGAUGGAUCCGCGCCGCAUUAGCUAGUUGGUAAGGUAACGGCUUACCAAGGCAACGAUGCGUAGCCGACCUGAGAGGGUGAUCGGCCCCACUGGAGCUGAGACACGGUCCAGACUCCUACGGGAGGCAGCAGUAGGGAAUCUUCCGCAAUGGGCGAAAGCUUGACGGAGCAACGCCGCGUGAGUGAUGAAGGUCUUCGGAUCGUAAAACUCUGUUAUUAGGGAAGAACAAAUGUGUAAGUAACUAUGCACGUCUUGACGGUACCUAAUCAGAAAGCCACGGCUAACUACGUG